Molecule: RNA transcript, 1155 nt
Organism: Vigna angularis (adzuki bean)
Lineage: Eukaryota; Viridiplantae; Streptophyta; Magnoliopsida; Fabales; Fabaceae
Gene name: probable prolyl 4-hydroxylase 9
Exons: 9
Source: RefSeq, a predicted model, not a curated record
AAGAUCUUUAAUAAUCUUCACUGUUAUGUCCUCCUUCACACCCCAAUGGGUAGUUGCAGAAUCGUUUAAGGAGAAAAAGUAGAGAGAAAAGGAAAAGAAGAAGAAGCCUUCAUCCUUUUAAUUAUUUAUUUAUUUUUUCUGUGAGGAGAAACAAUGAAAGGCAAAGUGAAGAGUUUCAAACUGAAAUUGGGGAUACCUGCAUUUUUCUUCAUUUGCUCCCUUUUUGUCUUUGCUGGCUUUUUUGAUUUGGAGGAUGUGAGAUCAAAAUCAAGAAUACUCCAAGAAUUUGAGAAGAAAGUAUAUGAACCUGUUGAGCAUGGUGAAUCCGGGGAAUCCUUUUUUGAUUCAAUCCCAUUUCAGAUUUUAAGUUGGAGACCGCGGGCGGUUUAUUUUCCAAACUUUACUAGUGUGGAAGCAUGUCAGCAAAUAAUUGAAAUGGCAAAAGCAAAACUUGAACCAUCAAAACUGGCUUUGCGGAAAGGAGAAACUGCUGAGAGCACAAAAGACACUAGAACAAGUUCAGGCACAUUUAUCAGUGCAUCAGGAGACAAAUCUGGCAUUUUAGACAUGUUAGAGAGGAAAAUUGCUAGAGUUACAAUGAUUCCAAGGAGCCAUGGGGAAAAAUUCAAUAUAUUGAAGUACGAGGUUGGCCAGAAAUAUGAUUCUCAUUACGAUGCGUUCAACCCAGAUGAAUACGGCAUUGUUAAGAGCCAAAGGAUGGCUUCCUUUCUGUUAUACCUAUCAAAUGUUGAAGCAGGAGGAGAAACAAUGUUCCCUUAUGAGGGUGGUUUGCAUAUUGAUACGGAUUAUGAUUAUCGAAAAUGCAUUGGUUUGAAGGUUAAGCCACGACAGGGCGAUGGACUUUUAUUUUAUUCACUGUUACCAAAUGGGAAAAUUGAUAAGACUUCUCUUCAUGGAAGUUGUCCAGUGAUUAAGGGAGAGAAAUGGGUGGCAACAAAGUGGAUUGAUGAUGAAGAGCAAUAGUACUACAGCAAAAAUGAUUUUAAACAACAAUGAAAUACUAUGAUCUAAAGAGUAAAAACCGUUGCGUAAAUUUGUCUUUGUCAUGACAUGUUUCUUUCUGUAAUACUACGUUGGUUUGAGCGUAUUCUACUGUAGACAGAUAUUUGAGAAAAUGAAAAAGCUAGAUUUUUU